CCCUUAGAUGUUCUGGGCCGCACGCGCGCUACACUGAUGCAUUCAACGAGCCUAUCCUUGACCGACAGGUCCGGGUAAUCUUUGAAUCUGCAUCGUGACGGGGAUAGAUUAUUGCAAUUAUUAAUCUUCAACGAGGAAUGCCUAGUAGGCCCAAGUCAUCAGCUUGCGUCGAUUACGUCCCUGCCCUUUGUACACACCGCCCGUCGCUCCUACCGAUUGGGUGUGCUGGUGAAAUGUUCGGAUCGGCCGUUUGUCGCGGUUUCCGCGUCAUGUGGCUGAGAAGUUCAUUAAACCCUCCCACCUAGAGGAAGGAGAAGUCGUAACA
RNAcentral lists this ribosomal RNA (325 nucleotides) under uncultured eukaryote. Its description in RNAcentral is "partial 18S ribosomal RNA". It matches the Rfam family "Eukaryotic small subunit ribosomal RNA", at positions 1470 to 1796 of the family's 1831-position model. The record is from RNAcentral.